GGGUAGCUACAUGUUAGAAGGGGGUAGGUAGCUACUUGUUAGAAGGGGGUAAUUAGCUACAUGUUAGAAGGGGGUGGGUAGCUACAUGUUAGAAGGGGGUAGGGAGCUACAUGUUAGAAGGGGUAGGUAGCUACAUGUUAGAAGGGGUUAAUUAGCUACAUGUUAGAAGGGGGUGGUAGCUACAUGUUAGAAGGGGGUAAUUAGCUACAUGUUAGAAGGGGGUGGGUAGCUACAUGUUAGAAGGGGGUAGGUAGCUACAUGUUAGAAGGGGGUAGGUAGCUACAUGUUAGAAGGGGGUGGGUAGCUACAUGUUAGAAGAGGGUGGGUAGCUACAUGUUAGAAGGGGGUGGGUAGCUACAUGUUAGAAGGGGGUGGGUAGCUACAUGUUAGAAGGGGGUGGGCAGCUACAUGUUAGAAGGAGGCCAACUACCUACAAUUUAGAAGAGGGUAGCUAACUUCAACCAGCAACAUGUUAAAAAGGGGUAGCUAGCUACAUGUUAGAAGGGGGUAGCUAGCAACAUGCUGUG
This is a long non-coding RNA of Oncorhynchus tshawytscha (Chinook salmon), 527 nucleotides long. The record is from Ensembl. NCBI's taxonomy places the organism in Eukaryota, Metazoa, Chordata, Actinopteri, Salmoniformes, Salmonidae.